GGUGGUUCUCGGGUAAUGCACCCCAGAAUCGGGCUCCCUCCUCUCUAGUUCCGGGUGUGUCACCCAAGAACUGCA
Molecule: microRNA precursor, 75 nt
Organism: Myotis lucifugus (little brown bat)
Lineage: Eukaryota; Metazoa; Chordata; Mammalia; Chiroptera; Vespertilionidae
Rfam family: mir-9223 microRNA precursor family
Source: Rfam